AGGAGAGUUUGAUCCUGGCUCAGGAUGAACGCUGGCGGCGUGCAUAACACAUUCAAGUCGAACGGUGAAGUUCCUUCGGGAACGGAGCAGUGGCGGACGGGUGAGUAACGCGUGAGCAACCUGCCGUAUAGUGGGGGAUAACACAGGGAAACUUGUGCUAAUACCGCAUGACACACGGAGACCGCAUGGUUUCUGUGUCAAAGAUUUAUUGCUGUACGAUGGGCUCGCGUAUGAUUAGACAGUUGGCAGGGUAACGGCCUACCAAAUCAACGAUCAUUAGCCGAACUGAGAGGUUGAACGGCCACAUUGGAACUGAGAAACGGUCCAGACUCCUACGGGAGGCAGCAGUGGGGAAUAUUGGGCAAUGGGCGAAAGCCUGACCCAGCGACGCCGCGUGAGGGAAGAAGGUCUUCGGAUUGUAAACCUCUUUCAGCAGGGAAGAAGGCAGUGACGGUACCUGCAGAAGAAGUCACGGCUAACUACGUGCCAGCAGCCGCGGUAAUACGUAGGUGGCGAGCGUUAUCCGGAAUUACUGGGUGUAAAGGGUGUGUAGGCGGGAUUGCAAGUCAGGCGUGAAAUCAUAAGGCUCAACCUUGUGACUGCGCUUGAAACUGUAAUUCUUGAGAGUGGGAGAGGUAAACGGAAUUCCUGGUGUAGUAGUGAAAUGCGUAGAUAUCAGGAGGAACACCGGUGGCGAAGGCGGUUUACUGGACCACAACUGACGCUGAGACACGAAAGCGUGGGGAGCAAACAGGAUUAGAUACCCUGGUAGUCCCCU
This 778-nucleotide ribosomal RNA is filed under the name uncultured Bacillota bacterium. RNAcentral describes it as "bacterial SSU rRNA". It matches the Rfam family "Bacterial small subunit ribosomal RNA", at positions 1 to 799 of the family's 1533-position model. Lineage: Bacteria; Bacillati; Bacillota. The record is from RNAcentral.